Molecule: ribosomal RNA, 550 nt
Filed under: uncultured bacterium
Lineage: Bacteria
Description: bacterial SSU rRNA
Rfam family: Bacterial small subunit ribosomal RNA
Source: RNAcentral
UAGGGAAUCUUCCACAAUGGGCGCAAGCCUGAUGGAGCAACACCGCGUGAGUGAAGAAGGGUUUCGGCUCGUAAAGCUCUGUUGUUAAAGAAGAACACGUAUGAGAGUAACUGUUCAUACGUUGACGGUAUUUAACCAGAAAGUCACGGCUAACUACGUGCCAGCAGCCGCGGUAAUACGUAGGUGGCAAGCGUUAUCCGGAUUUAUUGGGCGUAAAGAGAGUGCAGGCGGUUCUCUAAGUCUGAUGUGAAAGCCUUCGGCUUAACCGGAGAAGUGCAUCGGAAACUGGAUAACUUGAGUGCAGAAGAGGGUAGUGGAACUCCAUGUGUAGCGGUGGAAUGCGUAGAUAUAUGGAAGAACACCAGUGGCGAAGGCGGCUACCUGGUCUGCAACUGACGCUGAGACUCGAAAGCAUGGGUAGCGAACAGGAUUAGAUACCCUGGUAGUCCAUGCCGUAAACGAUGAGUGCUAGGUGUUGGAGGGUUUCCGCCCUUCAGUGCCGGAGCUAACGCAUUAAGCACUCCGCCUGGGGAGUACGNCCGCAAGGUUG